This 405-nucleotide ribosomal RNA is filed under the name uncultured bacterium. RNAcentral describes it as "bacterial SSU rRNA". It matches the Rfam family "Bacterial small subunit ribosomal RNA", at positions 356 to 773 of the family's 1533-position model. The record is from RNAcentral.
GGGGAAUAUUGCACAAUGGGCGCAAGCCUGAUGCAGCAACGCCGCGUGCGGGAUGACGGCCUUCGGGUUGUAAACCGCUUUCAGCAGGGACGAAGCGCAAGUGACGGUACCUGCAGAAGAAGCACCGGCUAACUACGUGCCAGCAGCCGCCGUGAUACGUAGGGUGCGAGCGUUGUCCGGAAUUAUUGGGCGUAAAGAGCUUGUAGGCGGUCUGUUGCGUCGGAAGUGAAAACUCAGGGCUUAACCCUGAGCCUGCUUUCGAUACGGGCAGACUUGAGGAAUGUAGGGGAGAAUGGAAUUCCUGGUGGAGCGGUGGAAUGCGCAGAUAUCAGGAGGAACACCAGUGGCGAAGGCGGUUCUCUGGACAUUUCCUGACGCUGAGAAGCGAAAGCGUGGGGAGCAAAC